CCUACGGGGGGCAGCAGUGGGGAAUAUUGGACAAUGGGGGGAACCCUGAUCCAGCCAUGCCGCGUGUGUGAAGAAGGCCCUCGGGAUGUAAAGCACUUUCAGUGAGGAAGAACGCCUGGUGGUUAAUACCCAUCAGGAAAGACAUCACUCACAGAAGAAGCACCGGCUAACUCCGUGCCAGCAGCCGCGGUAAUACGGAGGGGGCGAGCGUUAAUCGGAAUUACUGGGCGUAAAGCGCGCGUAGGUGGCUUGAUAAGCCGGUUGUGAAAGCCCCGGGCUCAACCUGGGAACGGCAUCCGGAACUGUCAAGCUAGAGUGCAGGAGAGGAAGGUAGAAUUCCCGGUGUAGCGGUGAAAUGCGUAGAGAUCGGGAGGAAUACCAGUGGCGAAGGCGGCCUUCUGGACUGACACUGACACUGAGGUGCGAAAGCGUGGGUAGCAAACAGGAUUAGAUACCCUUGUAGUC
Molecule: ribosomal RNA, 465 nt
Filed under: Vreelandella stevensii
Lineage: Bacteria; Pseudomonadati; Pseudomonadota; Gammaproteobacteria; Oceanospirillales; Halomonadaceae
Description: partial 16S ribosomal RNA
Rfam family: Bacterial small subunit ribosomal RNA
Source: RNAcentral